RNAcentral lists this unclassified non-coding RNA (238 nucleotides) under Glomeraceae sp. RNAcentral's name for it is "partial contains 5.8S ribosomal RNA and internal transcribed spacer 2". The stretch from base 1 to 71 matches the Rfam family "5.8S ribosomal RNA", at positions 84 to 154 of the family's 154-position model. Lineage: Eukaryota; Fungi; Glomeromycota; Glomeromycetes; Glomerales; Glomeraceae. The record is from RNAcentral.
GUGAAUCAUCAAAUCUUUGAACGCAAAUUGCACUCUCUGGUAUUCCGGAGCGUAUUCCUGUUUGAGGGUCAGUUUAUAUACAAAUCGGUGUGUUUGCUGCCUUUCGUGGUGACGCACCGGAUUUGGUUCGUCUUUCCUUCGGUUAAGCGACCUAAAAUUUUCCAUGCUUUUUUUCGAACGUAUUUAAAUUAUUUUUUGUUCGUUUCCUUUAUCGUAUACUACUUUUUGUCAUCUUCCU